This 467-nucleotide ribosomal RNA is filed under the name uncultured bacterium. Its description in RNAcentral is "partial 16S ribosomal RNA". It matches the Rfam family "Bacterial small subunit ribosomal RNA", at positions 28 to 507 of the family's 1533-position model. The record is from RNAcentral.
GACGAACGCUGGCGGCGUGCUUAACACAUGCAAGUCGAACGGAAAGGCCUCUUUCGGGGGGUACUCGAGUGGCGAACGGGUGAGUAACACGUGAGUAACCUGCCCUUGACUUUGGGAUAACUUCAGGAAACUGGGGCUAAUACCGGAUAGGAGCUCCUGCUGCAUGGUGGGGGUUGGAAAGUUUCGGCGGUUGGGGAUGGACUCGCGGCUUAUCAGCUUGUUGGUGGGGUAGUGGCUUACCAAGGCUUUGACGGGUAGCCGGCCUGAGAGGGUGACCGGCCACAUUGGGGCUGAGGUACGGCCCAGGCUCCGACGGGGGGCAGCAGUGGGGAAUAUUGCACAAUGGGUGGAAGCCUGAUGCAGCAACGCCGUGUGCGGGAUGACGGCCUUCGGGUUGUAAACCGCUUUCGCUCAUGACGAAGCUUUGUGUGACGGUAGUGGGUAAAGAAGCACCGGCUAACUACGUG